GACGAACGCUGGCGGCGUGCCUAAUACAUGCAAGUAGAACGCACAGUUUAUACCGUAGCUUGCUACACCAUAGACUGUGAGUUGCGAACGGGUGAGUAACGCGUAGGUAACCUGCCUGGUAGCGGGGGAUAACUAUUGGAAACGAUAGCUAAUACCGCAUGAUAUUAAUUAUUGCAUGAUAAUUAAUUGAAAGGUGCAAUUGCACCACUACCAGAUGGACCUGCGUUGUAUUAGCUAGUAGGUGAGGUAACGGCUCACCUAGGCGACGAUACAUAGCCGACCUGAGAGGGUGAUCGGCCACACUGGGACUGAGACACGGCCCAGACUCCUACGGGAGGCAGCAGUAGGGAAUCUUCGGCAAUGGACGAAAGUCUGACCGAGCAACGCCGCGUGAGUGAAGAAGGUUUUCGGAUCGUAAAGCUCUGUUGUAACAGAAGAACGGGUGUGAGAGUGGAAAGUUCACACUGUGACGGCAUCUUACCAGAAAGGGACGGCUAACUACGUG
Molecule: ribosomal RNA, 505 nt
Filed under: uncultured bacterium
Lineage: Bacteria
Description: partial 16S ribosomal RNA
Rfam family: Bacterial small subunit ribosomal RNA
Source: RNAcentral